UAGGGAAUAUUCCACAAUGAGCGAAAGCUUGAUGGAGCGACACAGCGUGCAGGAUGACGGCCUUCGGGUUGUAAACUGCUGUUAUAAAGGAAGAACAACUAGUAUAGGAAAUGAUACUAGCCUGACGGUACUUUAUCAGAAAGCACCGGCAAACUAUGUG
RNAcentral lists this ribosomal RNA (160 nucleotides) under uncultured Mycoplasma sp. RNAcentral's name for it is "partial 16S ribosomal RNA". It matches the Rfam family "Bacterial small subunit ribosomal RNA", at positions 355 to 507 of the family's 1533-position model. Lineage: Bacteria; Bacillati; Mycoplasmatota; Mollicutes; Mycoplasmatales; Mycoplasmataceae. The record is from RNAcentral.